AGAGUUUGAUCCUGGCUCAGGACGAACGCUGGCGGCGUGCGUUAUACAUGCAAGUCGUACGCCUUCUUUUUCCACCGGAGCUUGCUCCACCGAAAAAAGAAGAGUGGCGAACGGGUGAGUAACACGUGGGUAACCUGCCCAUCAGAAGGGGAUAACACUUGGAAACAGGUGCUAAUACCGUAUAACAAUCGAAACCGCAUGGUUUUGAUUUGAAAGGCGCUUUCGGGUGUCGCUGAUGGAUGGACCCGCGGUGCAUUAGCUAGUUGGUGAGGUAACGGCUCACCAAGGCCACGAUGCAUAGCCGACCUGAGGGGGUGAUCGGCCACAUUGGGACUGAGACACGGCCCAAACUCCUACGGGAGGCAGCAGUAGGGAAUCUUCGGCAAUGGACGAAAGUCUGACCGAGCAACGCCGCGUGAGUGAAGAAGGUUUUCGGAUCGUAAAACUCUGUUGUUAGAGAAGAACAAGGAUGAGAGUAACUGUUCAUCCCUUGACGGUAUCUAACCAGAAAGCCACGGCUAACUACGUGCCAGCAGCCGCGGUAAUACGUAGGUGGCAAGCGUUGUCCGGAUUUAUUGGGCGUAAAGCGAGCGCAGGCGGUUUCUUAAGUCUGAUGUGAAAGCCCCCGGCUCAACCGGGGAGGGUCAUUGGAAACUGGGAGACUUGAGUGCAGAAGAGGAGAGUGGAAUUCCAUGUGUAGCGGUGAAAUGCGUAGAUAUAUGGAGGAACACCAGUGGCGAAGGCGGCUCUCUGGUCUGUAACUGACGCUGAGGCUCGAAAGCGUGGGGAGCAAACAGGAUUAGAUACCCUGGUAGUCCACGCCGUAAACGAUGAGUGCUAAGUGUUGGAGGGUUUCCGCCCUUCAGUGCUGCAGCU
RNAcentral lists this ribosomal RNA (876 nucleotides) under uncultured bacterium. Its description in RNAcentral is "bacterial SSU rRNA". It matches the Rfam family "Bacterial small subunit ribosomal RNA", at positions 8 to 853 of the family's 1533-position model. The record is from RNAcentral.